RNAcentral lists this ribosomal RNA (253 nucleotides) under uncultured bacterium. Its description in RNAcentral is "partial 16S ribosomal RNA". It matches the Rfam family "Bacterial small subunit ribosomal RNA", at positions 524 to 776 of the family's 1533-position model. The record is from RNAcentral.
UACAGAGGGGGCAAGCGUUGUUCGGAAUUACUGGGCGUAAAGGGCGCGUAGGCGGCCUGUUAAGUCGAACGUGAAAUCCCCGGGCUCAACCCGGGAACUGCGUCCGAUACUGGCAGGCUUGAAUCCGGGAGAGGGAUGCGGAAUUCCAGGUGUAGCGGUGAAAUGCGUAGAUAUCUGGAGGAACACCGGUGGCGAAGGCGGCAGCCUGGACCGACACUGACACUGAGGAGCGAAAGCCAGGGGAGCAAACGGG